Molecule: long non-coding RNA, 835 nt
Filed under: Equus caballus (horse)
Lineage: Eukaryota; Metazoa; Chordata; Mammalia; Perissodactyla; Equidae
Description: lncRNA (ENSECAG00000046854.1)
Source: RNAcentral
CGCAGAGAGAGCCAGGUCUGCCUGGAGAUGAUGCUCUCCCACCACAAUGCUUAAUCAAUGACCAACAGGCCAGAAGAAAGCUCAGCUUCCUUGCCUCAGUCCGGGCAGACCCUGAGGUGUAAUUUACCGCACUUCGAGGCCCGGUGGGAUCAGGCGGAUGAGGCUGGUUGUUGAAGAAAUGAGAUGUUCUUCCCAGUGUUCGCUUCCAUUUCUUCUCUCCACUCGGAGCUGAAACACCCACUCCCUCCGGAGAUUUGUUUAAAUACUACAUGAAUGAGCCUAUAUUGAACCGGGUCCACAAGGGCACAAGCACCUCCUCAGCCAAUAACACGAGAAACAGUUUGCAGAAACCAAAAGUACCACUCUCAACCACUUGCCCCUUCAACAAGAGGUACGACUUUUAACAAAAAGAAUGCUAGGACAGCAGGAAUAUGCCACGCAAUGUGCCGGGAUGAGCUGUCAGUGCUUUUAGCAGAUAAUCAGAGCCCUGCCUUAAACUGCCCUUUCUUGCCAUUUGCUGAAUAUUCGUUCAUGGGAAGUAGCCAGGAAAGUGAAUUGAAAAGACUAUGCUCUGGAAAUGAGAUGUCCUACAGAUUUGUAGGCUCGUUAAUUAGGUCAACGUUAAUAGUUUCUGCAGGACUACAAGGGUUUUACUCAAAAAGAUCCUUGGCCACCUAUGUCUCAGUCAAGGACAUGUCACAAUUGUGAGCACUCGAAGGAGCAGCUGCAAUCAAGUGAAGUCGCUAUCGGCUGUGUGUCCGCUGGCAGGGAAAGGCCGACGGCCUCCUGCCAUUUGUGAUAUUCUUUGAGGACGCAGGAGAGUGCAGGAGGGAAG